AGAGUUUGAUCCUGGCUCAGGACGAACGCUGGCGGCGUGCCUAAUACAUGCAAGUCGAACGAACUCUGGUAUUGAUUGGUGCUUGCAUCAUGAUUUACAUUUGAGUGAGUGGCGAACUGGUGAGUAACACGUGGGAAACCUGCCCAGAAGCGGGGGAUAACACCUGGAAACAGAUGCUAAUACCGCAUAACAACUUGGACCGCAUGGUCCGAGUUUGAAAGAUGGCUUCGGCUAUCACUUUUGGAUGGUCCCGCGGCGUAUUAGCUAGAUGGUGGGGUAACGGCUCACCAUGGCAAUGAUACGUAGCCGACCUGAGAGGGUAAUCGGCCACAUUGGGACUGAGACACGGCCCAAACUCCUACGGGAGGCAGCAGUAGGGAAUCUUCCACAAUGGACGAAAGUCUGAUGGAGCAACGCCGCGUGAGUGAAGAAGGGUUUCGGCUCGUAAAACUCUGUUGUUAAAGAAGAACAUAUAUGAGAGUAACUGUUCAGGUAUUGACGGUAUUUAACCAGAAAGCCACGGCUAACUACGUGCCAGCAGCCGCGGUAAUACGUAGGUGGCAAGCGUUGUCCGGAUUUAUUGGGCGUAAAGCGAGCGCAGGCGGUUUUUUAAGUCUGAUGUGAAAGCCUUUCGGCUCAACCGAAGAAGUGCAUCGGAAACUGGGAAACUUGAGUGCAGAAGAGGACAGUGGAACUCCAUGUGUAGCGGUGAAAUGCGUAGAUAUAUGGAAGAACACCAGUGGCGAAGGCGGCUGUCUGGUCUGUAACUGACGCUGAGGCUCGAAAGUAUGGGUAGCAAACAGGAUUAGAUACCCUGGUAGUCCAUACCGUAAACGAUGAAUGCUAAGUGUUGGAGGGUUUCCGCCCUUCAGUGCUGCAGCUAACGCAUUAAGCAUUCCGCCUGGGGAGUACGGCCGCAAGGCUGAAACUCAAAGGAAUUGACGGGGGCCCGCACAAGCGGUGGAGCAUGUGGUUUAAUUCGAAGCUACGCGAAGAACCUUACCAGGUCUUGACAUACUAUGCAAAUCUAAGAGAUUAGACGUUCCCUUCGGGGACAUGGAUACAGGUGGUGCAUGGUUGUCGUCAGCUCGUGUCGUGAGAUGUUGGGUUAAGUCCCGCAACGAGCGCAACCCUUAUUAUCAGUUGCCAGCAUUAAGUUGGGCACUCUGGUGAGACUGCCGGUGACAAACCGGAGGAAGGUGGGGAUGACGUCAAAUCAUCAUGCCCCUUAUGACCUGGGCUACACACGUGCUACAAUGGAUGGUACAACGAGUUGCGAACUCGCGAGGGCAAGCAAAUCACUUAAAACCGAUCUCAGUUCGGAUUGCAGGCUGCAACUCGCCUGCAUGAAGCUGGAAUCGCUAGUAAUCGCGGAUCAGCAUGCCGCGGUGAAUACGUUCCCGGGCCUUGUACACACCGCCCGUCACACCAUGAGAGUUUGUAACACCCAAAGUCGGUGGGGUAACCUUUCGGGGAACUAGCCGCCUAAGGUGGGACAAAUGAUUAGGGUGAAGUCGUAACAAGGUAACC
This 1530-nucleotide ribosomal RNA is filed under the name uncultured Lactobacillaceae bacterium. RNAcentral describes it as "bacterial SSU rRNA". It matches the Rfam family "Bacterial small subunit ribosomal RNA". Lineage: Bacteria; Bacillati; Bacillota; Bacilli; Lactobacillales; Lactobacillaceae. The record is from RNAcentral.